Molecule: transfer RNA, 73 nt
Filed under: Toxocara canis (dog roundworm)
Lineage: Eukaryota; Metazoa; Nematoda; Chromadorea; Rhabditida; Toxocaridae
Rfam family: tRNA
About the family: Transfer RNA (tRNA) molecules are approximately 80 nucleotides in length. Their secondary structure includes four short double-helical elements and three loops (D, anti-codon, and T loops).
Source: Rfam by way of RNAcentral
GCCUCCUUAGCUCAGUCGGUAGUGCAUCGGGCUUUUAAUCUGAGGGUCGGGGGUUCCAGUCCCACAGAGGGCG